AUAGAGUGAUUUCACAGUGUCCACGUCGACAAAUUUAUUCGGCCAAUCAAAACAUUUCAAUAAUACACGUAUGACCUCCUAAACUGUUGCUUUUGUAUGGGCUUCAAUGUGGUUUUACUGGGCUUCGUCGGUUUCAAACUACCGGUACAAUUAGAAAAAAAAAACCUGAGACGGAUAACACGAUGCUCUCUCCUCUAUCGCUUCGUCUUCACCGUUUUCUCUCCAUCCUUUCAGUUCUCUCGAUCCUCAUAUUAUAAAUAUUCGGCUUUAAGGAAACGGAGAAGGAAAGAAGGAGACCAUAUGGAAAGACAUGCAUUUGAAGAUCUUCACAACCACAUCAAGAGCUCGGCGGUGAUCGUGACGGAGCCCGAUUUCAACGCCAAGAUCUGCCACUUCGGCACCGGGCAGCUCUGUGGGGAAACAGACGGAUCGAGAGAUUCCAAAGCCGUUUGAUUCGAAGGAGUGAUAGGAUACAUGUCGCCGGAUUUUCAGGCUUUGGGGUUGCGACUCAGGAAUCAGACGUGUUCGCCUUCGGAGUCAUGAUGCUUGAGCUUCUCUCCGGCGAGGAGUCGUUGAAGUAUAGGUAUGAGAAAUCGACCGGGGAUUUUGAACGGACUUUGGUGAUUGAAAUCGCGAAAGCGGUGGUUGACGGCGGAGAUGGUGGUGACGUAGGGGGCGGUUGAGGAGGUGGAUGGAUCGGAGGUUGGGGGAUUCGUUUCCGGUGACGGUGGAGGAGAAGUUAAUGCGGUUGGCGUUGGAGUGCGUCGAGGAUGAGGCGGUGAACCGGCCGGAGAUGGGAAGAGUCACCGGAAAGAUAUCGCAAUUGUAUUUGGAAUCGGAGAAAUGGUUGGCGAAUAUGAAGACUUCCUUUCCAGGUUUCAGAAGUCUCAUUUCUUUGUUAGGAUCGCAGAGUCUGGUGAGCCGCUUUGGUCAAAGAAACCUCUGUGUUGGGAGAUACAAAGCUAGAGGAAAAGCGGGAAAAAGAGACCUUGUGUUAGUGCUUUUUUAGAUAGAGGAGAGUUUGAUCUUAAUGUUGCUGGAGGUGUAGCAAGAAGUAAGGCAAAAUGUUGUGCCUUACCCAAUGGAGACACAUGAUGGUAAUUCUUAUAAGUUGUUGUUUUAACCUACUGAUUCUCACACAAUGCCUUUAUUUGGAAGGGUGAAGGUCUCUUUACAAGUUUAUAUCGCUGACUGUCCCAAUGAACCAAUCAUUGAGAUACUGCAGUUUGAGAAGCAUCAAGACAUGGACCAACUUUCUGAUCAUGAACACAAGGAUCCAUAUGGGAACCUUUUGAAGUGGUUGAUACCGUUGGAUAACACUAUUUCUCAGCAACCCCGUUACCUCCUAUAAGCUCUACCCCAGAUAUCAGCAGCAGUGCACACAAGCCAUUACUCUCUUCUGGCUCAGGAUCUCAGCUCUUCUCAUUCGUCCAUUUUAGAAGCUACUCCAUGUUAGCUCUGCCGGCGCCGUGUUUAUAGUUUCUGUACGUAUGUGUUUGUGGAAGCAGUGCACACAAGCCAUUACUCUCUUCUGGCUCAGGAUCUCAGCUCUUCUCAUUCGUCCAUUUUAGAAGCUACUCCAUGUUAGCUCUGCCGGCGCCGAACACUGCACCAGUUACUGGACCGUAAAAACUGAAAGCUCCAAACCAUCAUUUGACCUUGAAGACUGGAACUGUUACUCAGGUCAAACAUUAUGGAACGGUCACAAGUCUGGGACUGAAGAGCGCUUAUCUUUCCGGGGUGUCCCUUUGGAGCGGGAUAAAUUCUCUGUUCGUUGUGGACGUGAAGGCAUAUGCAUUCCUGGUAAGAAGAUGGAGGAAGAAACUCGAAAUCAUUCAACCUAUUGAUAUCAAUUCUUUUACAGCUGAUUGUAAUACAGAUAAACAUUUAAUAUAAAUAGUUUUAAAUUUUUAUAAUAAAUUCUAAUGUAUAUAUGUAACAUAGUCAUAUUUAAUAUAAUAUGGGUAUAUUUUGUUAACU
This is a long non-coding RNA of Brassica napus (rape), 1980 nucleotides long. RefSeq lists it as uncharacterized. The record is from RefSeq and is a predicted model, not a curated record. The transcript is spliced from 2 exons. Lineage: Eukaryota; Viridiplantae; Streptophyta; Magnoliopsida; Brassicales; Brassicaceae.